This 458-nucleotide ribosomal RNA is filed under the name uncultured bacterium. RNAcentral's name for it is "partial 16S ribosomal RNA". It matches the Rfam family "Bacterial small subunit ribosomal RNA", at positions 338 to 795 of the family's 1533-position model. The record is from RNAcentral.
CCUACGGGUGGCAGCAGUGAGGAAUAUUGGUCAAUGGGCGAGAGCCUGAACCAGCCAAGUCGCGUGAGGGAGUACUGCCCUAUGGGUUGUAAACCUCUUUUGUCGGGGAGCAAAAGCCGGACGUGUCCGGCUGUGAGAGUACCCGAAGAAAAAGCGUCGGCCAACUCCGUGCCAGCAGCAGCGGUAAUACGGAGGAUGCGAGCGUUAUACGGAUUUAUUGGGUUUAAAGGGUGCGCAGGCGGAUUUUUAAGUCAGCGGUAAAAUCGUGGGGCUCAACCCCAUCGAGCCGUUGAAACUGGGGAUCUAGAGUGUGCGAGAGGUAUGCGGAAUGCGUGGUGUAGCGGUGAAAUGCAUAGAUAUCACGCAGAACCCCGAUUGCGAAGGCAGCAUACCGGUGCACAACUGACGCUCAGGCACGAAAGCGUGGGUAUCGAACAGGAUUAGAUACCCGAGUAGUC